UACGUAGGGUGCAAGCGUUGCCCGGAUUUAUUGGGCGUAAAGGGCGCGUAGGCGGUCAGCACAAGUCAGUUGUGAAAUCUCCGGGCUUAACUCGGAAAGGUCAACUGAUACUGUGCGACUAGAGUGCAGAAGGGGCAACUGGAAUUCUCGGUGUAGCGGUGAAAUGCGUAGAUAUCGAGAGGAACACCUGCGGCGAAGGCGGGUUGCUGGGCUGACACUGACGCUGAUGCGCGAAAGCCAGGGGAGCGAACGGG
Molecule: ribosomal RNA, 254 nt
Filed under: uncultured bacterium
Lineage: Bacteria
Description: partial 16S ribosomal RNA
Rfam family: Bacterial small subunit ribosomal RNA
Source: RNAcentral